UCCCUUUUCAUUACGACUUUUUUCUCCGCUUAACACAAUUCGCUUUUUGCUUCUUUCAUUCUUAGCUUCAACUUAUUUUCUUUCUAGCUUUUGUGGGUAACUUAGGGUUUAUCUCGCCGUAGAUCUGGGUUGGGGCUCAUACCCAAUGGUGGCUGGAGCGAAGGUUUGUGGAGCUCCAGACGGCAUGAGAUCUACAGUUAUUCACCUUCCUUCUCAUCUCUCCGUCGUCAGUCAUGGGUUCGGUUUUGCAAAAAAGUCGAGAUCUUCACCAGUUACUAUCCCUUUCCGGAAUCGAUUCCCGAACAAGAGAUAUAGUAAAGAAUUGUGGUCCUCGUGGAGUUAGCAGGUGGAUAUAUCAUCAGUAUUUGCGAAUUGAGCAAUGAUAUCCUCUUCCUCAUGCGGCUGCAGUGCUAAAAGAGAAGUGUAAGAUUGACUUGUGUGUUAUGAGGAUCACUGGCUCAAGCAAAUCAUAAGUCGAUGAACUUGUUAGAGUUCUUUGUAGGUAAAUUACUUUACUGCUUUUUCCUUACACAAUCAUCUUUUCUAGGGGAAUCAACUUAUCAAGAUUGAGUUAACUUAUGUAAGAAGAGGGAGAGUCAGCUGAUGCUGAUACAGCAAGCUGUUACUACGACUGGUUGCUGCUGCUACGAGGAAUUCAUGUGGUCACUACGACCCAGGAGAUAUCAGAAUCUAAAGAUCAGAGAUCUCUAAAGAAAAUCGUACAGACUUUUAUGAAGGAUGACGGUGGUGAGCAGUAUCUACGUUUGCCAACGACGGUGGUGGUGGUGGUUACGGCCAAGACAUAUCACAAAAUGUUUUUUUUUUGUC
Molecule: long non-coding RNA, 828 nt
Organism: Brassica oleracea var. oleracea
Lineage: Eukaryota; Viridiplantae; Streptophyta; Magnoliopsida; Brassicales; Brassicaceae
Exons: 4
Source: RefSeq, a predicted model, not a curated record